AGGAUCACAAAAUCUUAUUAUUCACUAAAAAAACAUGAUAGAUCUUUACAAUCAAAUUUCUAACACCAAACAUACCAACAGGAUCACAAAAUCUAAGGUAUUACUCACUAAAAAACAUGAUAGAUCUUUACAAGCAAAGAGAAAAGAACUUCAGAAGAAAAAUUACCUCAAGGAACUCUAAUGUCAGAGACCUCCAGUAACAUAGCCGAAUUCAUCCAAUCGCAGCGAAAAAAGGUACAAUAAUCAUUUUUGGGGAAACAUGGCAACAGCAAAGCUACAAUAAUCACAAUUCAGUCCUAGCUAGCCACAUUUCUGAGAGGGGGUCCUAGCUAGUCUCGUUUCUGAUGGAGAGAACCGAGGAAGAGGAAGAAAAUUAAGAAACUUUGCGUAAAUAUCAUUUGUUUUUCCUUUAACGCAAGUAAUUUGCAUUCUGCAGUUUUGUGAACACAUUGUCAAUAGAAACAAAACUGUCUAGGAAAAAUCUGUCUAAACUAACUGUUUAGGUCGGUCCCAACGCUCUCAUCACGAGGAAGCGAUUCCACUUCCAUCAACUUCCUUCUCCUCUCAUUUGAUCCACUUUCUCUUCAUUUUCUUCUCGCUCCGA
RNAcentral lists this long non-coding RNA (604 nucleotides) under Actinidia chinensis (golden kiwifruit). Its description in RNAcentral is "long non-coding RNA (ACHI_LNC008553)". The record is from RNAcentral. Lineage: Eukaryota; Viridiplantae; Streptophyta; Magnoliopsida; Ericales; Actinidiaceae.